This 1292-nucleotide long non-coding RNA is filed under the name Pan troglodytes (chimpanzee). RNAcentral's name for it is "lincRNA". The record is from RNAcentral. Lineage: Eukaryota; Metazoa; Chordata; Mammalia; Primates; Hominidae.
GCUCCGCCAUGGUGAGAAGCGCCUGCUUUCCCUUCACCUUCCGCCACGAUUGUGUUUCCCGAGACCUCCCAGCCGUGCUUCCUGUACAGCCUGCAGAACUAAAAGAUCGAUAACUUGGAAACGGGGAUGGGGAGUUGGUGCCAGCUUUCCUGCUACAUGAAAAUUCAAUCCCAACUGCUACCCAGACCCGCUCUGUCUGCACUACAGCAGUGGGGACUGAGGGCAUGCCUGCCAUGCCAAUCCCGCAGAGGACUUUGCUGCAGGGAGACAGCCCCUUUCUCCCUCCAUGACAGGGUUUAGAAGCCUCCUCCUCUUGCUGCCACCGUGGGAAUUUAGGUGAGCAGCUGUAGUUGCCGGGGAGUCCUGAGCACAACACUUAACGCUGCUCCUGCAGUUUCAUGGGCCAUUAACAAUUUGCUAAUAUUGUUUUAGCUUGCAAAUUAUUGCAGCUCCGUGGGUAAGGAAAGGCUCUGUGGCCGUCAUCAAUCAGAUGGAAAUUCUCCAUGCAUGAGAUGAAAAACGAUUUCUAGCCUUUGAGGCUCAGACGGCAAUUACUGUAACCAAAAAAAAUGGGUGAUGGGGAGCCGGGGGGAAGAGAGCUCCUUGCAAAGUCUGUUAGCAAUUCUAUGAACUUUGUUUCUUGAUGCACGAGAGGAAACUAUGAGGAUUUCCAGCCAAGGGAACUUGAUUUUCUUAGUUACUAAUAAAGUGGCAAUCUAAAGGAGCCCUCUCCAACUGUCCUGCUCCCAGAAGGCGGGGAGAGAGGAUGUCCGUGUGGCAAGAAGGAUGACAAAGCUGUGAGGACCUGGUGACUGUCUUUGCUGAGCUCCCAACUGGUGACACUCACCAGGAGGAUGCCACAGAUGGCUCUGCCAAAAGUGCAGACAAACCUUGGCCUUGUUUGUUGGAAACCAUGUUGCUUAUCCCCCAUCCCUCCCACCUUUAAGCACCAACAUUUUUUCCUUUUAAAUAUUGAUACGAGACUGGGCUGGGCAUGGUGGCUCAUGCCUGUAGUUCUAAUGCUUUGGAAAUCUGAGGCAGGAGAAUCACUUGAUCUCCAGUUCUAGACCAGCCUGGGCUAGUGAGAACCCCAUCUCUACAAAAACAUUUCAAAAAUUAGCUGGGUGUGAUAGUAUGCACUGUGGUCCCAGCUGCUUGGGAGGCUGAGGCAGGAGGAUCACUUGAGCCCAGGAGGUCAAGGCUGCUGUGAGCCAUGAACGCCCCUCUGCACUCCAGCCUGGGCAACAGAGUGAGACCCUGUCUCUUAAAAUAAAAGUGAGACUGUUAUGAAA